UUGUUCUUUGUAACAGUGCCGCAGCCGUGACGUGGUUACUAAAAUGAGGGAGCAGCUGCCGGAGAUGAAGACAUCCGGGAAAUCAAAAAAUAACCCCAGGGCAGCCAAUACAGAGCCAGGAAAGUGAAAUAAAGGGGGGAGGAAACUUCCCAAGGUUGCCUUCGGGCACGCACUCGCAAAGAGGAACCAGAAGGGACAACACUCCUAGACAAAGUUGGGAGUUUUGAGGGGAAAUGAGACGUCCUUCCCCAGAUCGCAUCCUACCUGGAGAAGACAGCCUCGGCGAUACAAACCUUGCUCUUGCAGGAGUUAAAUCCAGCCAGAAUUGGAGUUGGAGUCAUGGAGCUGCUGCUGUUUUUUUAUUUGAGAACAAGAAGUCUUUUCACUGCUGCCUCCAGCCUGCGCUGUGUGGGGGGCUCUGUUGCCCCUGUUUCCUGUAGAGAAUAUUUGCACUCUAUGGAGGGAGAGUUCCAAGCACAAGCAACAGCUGAAGCUGAUCACGUGGCUCCUAAUGAAAUCCAGACCCUGGUGGAGUGAUGACAUAUAGUGCUGUGAUUUGUGCUUCCAUACAGACUAAAGAAGCAGAGGAAGGUAUAAUAUGUUGUGCUGCCGCCAAGCAACACAGACUCCAAUAUAAAUCAGGCAGUGUGAACAGAGAGGCUUAUUUUCAACAUCUGCUUGUUUCUUGUUCUAAUUGCUCUUUCUUACAUUGCGAUAUAAGAAGCAAAUGGAGAUCAGGUAAAAACAGACAAAAUAGUUUUUCUAUUAUAUUUAAAAGUGCUGCAAAUAAAAUAUCCAAAGAAUA
Alligator mississippiensis (American alligator) is the source of this 805-nucleotide long non-coding RNA. RefSeq lists it as uncharacterized. The record is from RefSeq and is a predicted model, not a curated record. NCBI's taxonomy places the organism in Eukaryota, Metazoa, Chordata, Crocodylia, Alligatoridae. The transcript is spliced from 2 exons.